GAUGAACGCUGGCGGAGUGCCUAACACAUGCAAGUCGAGCGGCAGCGCGAGUAGUUUACUACUUGGCGGCGAGCGGCGGACGGCUGAGUAACGCGUGGGAACAUGCCCCAAAGUGAGGAAUAACUGCCCGAAAGGGUAGCUAAUGCCGCAUACGAUCUUCGGAUUAAAGGAUUUAUCCGCUUUGGGAGUGGCCUGCGUACGAUUAGAUAGUUGGUGAGGUAAUGGCUCACCAAGUCUACGAUCGUUAACUGGUUUGAGAGGAUGAUCAGUCAGACUGGAACUGAGACACGGUCCAGACUCCUACGGGAGGCAGCAGUGAGGAAUCUUCCACAAUGGACGAAAGUCUGAUGGAGCAACUCCGCGUGCAGGAUGAAGGCCUUCGGGUC
This 386-nucleotide ribosomal RNA is filed under the name uncultured bacterium. Its description in RNAcentral is "bacterial SSU rRNA". It matches the Rfam family "Bacterial small subunit ribosomal RNA", at positions 28 to 424 of the family's 1533-position model. The record is from RNAcentral.